GUUGAAGAACGUAGCGAAAUGCGAUAAGUAGUGUGAAUUGCAGAAUUCAGUGAAUCAUCGAAUCUUUGAACGCACAUUGCGCCCCUUGGUAUCCCGAGGGGCAUGCCUGUUCGAGCGUCAUUUCACCACUCAAGCCUGGCUUGGUGUUGGGCGACGUCCUCUUUGGGGACGCGCCUCGAAACGCUCGGCGGCGUGGCACCGGCUUUAAGCGUAGCAGAAUCUUUCGCUUUGGAAGUCGGGGCCCCGUCUGCCGGAAGACCUGCUCGCAAGGUUGACCUCGGAUCAGGCAGGGAUACCCGCUGAACUUAAGCAUAUCAAUAAGCGGAGGA
This 329-nucleotide unclassified non-coding RNA is filed under the name soil metagenome. RNAcentral's name for it is "partial contains 5.8S ribosomal RNA, internal transcribed spacer 2, and large subunit ribosomal RNA". The stretch from base 1 to 120 matches the Rfam family "5.8S ribosomal RNA", at positions 35 to 154 of the family's 154-position model. The record is from RNAcentral.